CGGGGCGUGGCGCAGCCCGGUAGCGCGCAUGGUUCGGGACCAUGAGGUCGCUGGUUCAAAUCCAGUCGCCCCGA
RNAcentral lists this transfer RNA (74 nucleotides) under bacterium. Its description in RNAcentral is "tRNA-Pro". It matches the Rfam family "tRNA". From Rfam's summary of the family: Transfer RNA (tRNA) molecules are approximately 80 nucleotides in length. Their secondary structure includes four short double-helical elements and three loops (D, anti-codon, and T loops). Further hydrogen bonds mediate the characteristic L-shaped molecular structure. tRNAs have two regions of fundamental functional importance: the anti-codon, which is responsible for specific mRNA codon recognition, and the 3' end, to which the tRNAs corresponding amino acid is attached (by aminoacyl-tRNA synthetases). tRNAs cope with the degeneracy of the genetic code in two manners: having more than one tRNA (with a specific anti-codon) for a particular amino acid; and 'wobble' base-pairing, i.e. permitting non-standard base-pairing at the 3rd anti-codon position. The record is from RNAcentral. RNAcentral also lists the same sequence under 4 other names.